GCGACCCCAGGAUGGGCGAGGCCACCCGC
This 29-nucleotide ribosomal RNA is filed under the name Dendrobium primulinum. Its description in RNAcentral is "partial 26S ribosomal RNA". RNAcentral also lists the same sequence under 9 other names. Lineage: Eukaryota; Viridiplantae; Streptophyta; Magnoliopsida; Asparagales; Orchidaceae. The record is from RNAcentral.